Non-coding RNA from Haemonchus contortus (barber pole worm), 75 nucleotides. The record is from Rfam. NCBI's taxonomy places the organism in Eukaryota, Metazoa, Nematoda, Chromadorea, Rhabditida, Trichostrongylidae.
GGCCCAAAUCUUAGGUAAGGUAGAUUAGUAGGGUCAGCUGAUCCUACUAUUCUACUGUACUUCGAAGUUGGGCCC